CUACGGGAUGCAGCAGUGGGGAAUAUUGGACAAUGGGGGAAACCCUGAUCCAGCAAUGCCGCGUGUGUGAAGAAGGCCUGCGGGUUGUAAAGCACUUUCGGUUGGGAGGACUGCUUCUAGCACUAAUAUUGUUGGAAGUUGACGUUACCUUCAGAAGAAGCACCGGCUAACUCCGUGCCAGCAGCCGCGGUGAAUACGGAGGGUGCAAGCGUUAAUCGGAAUUACUGGGCGUAAAGCGCGCGUAGGCGGCUAGAUCAGUCGGGUGUGAAAGCCCCGGGCUUAACCUGGGCACUGCAUCCGAUACUGUCUAGCUUGAGUACAGGAGAGGAGAGUGGAAUUCCACAUGUAGCGGUGAAAUGCGUAGAUAUGGGGAGGAACACCAAUGGCGAAGGCAGCUCUCUGGCCUGAUACUGACGCUGAGGUGCGAAAGCGUGGGGAGCAAACAGGAUUAGAUACCCCCGUAGUC
RNAcentral lists this ribosomal RNA (466 nucleotides) under uncultured bacterium. Its description in RNAcentral is "partial 16S ribosomal RNA". It matches the Rfam family "Bacterial small subunit ribosomal RNA", at positions 339 to 795 of the family's 1533-position model. The record is from RNAcentral.